UGGAUCCAGACCUUGAUCCUGGCUCAGGAUGAACGCUAGCUACAGGCUUAACACAUGCAAGUCGAGGGGCAGCAUGAACUUAGCUUGCUAAGUUUGAUGGCGACCGGCGCACGGGUGAGUAACACGUAUCCAACCUUCCGUUUACUCAGGGAUAGCCUUUCGAAAGAAAGAUUAAUACCUGAUAGUAUGGUGAGAUUGCAUGAUAGCACCAUUAAAGAUUUAUUGGUAAACGAUGGGGAUGCGUUCCAUUAGGUAGUAGGCGGGGUAACGGCCCACCUAGCCGACGAUGGAUAGGGGUUCUGAGAGGAAGGUCCCCCACAUUGGAACUGAGACACGGUCCAAACUCCUACGGGAGGCAGCAGUGAGGAAUAUUGGUCAAUGGGCGAGAGCCUGAACCAGCCAAGUAGCGUGAAGGAUGAAGGUCCUACGGAUUGUAAACUUCUUUUAUACGGGAAUAAAGUAUCCUACGUGUAGGAUUUUGUAUGUACCGUAUGAAUAAGCAUCGGCUAACUCCGUGCCAGCAGCCGCGGUAAUACGGAGGAUGCGAGCGUUAUCCGGAUUUAUUGGGUUUAAAGGGAGCGCAGACGGGAGAUUAAGUCAGUUGUGAAAGUUUGCGGCUCAACCGUAAAAUUGCAGUUGAUACUGGUUUCCUUGAGUGCAGUUGAGGCAGGCGGAAUUCGUGGUGUAGCGGUGAAAUGCUUAGAUAUCACGAAGAACCCCGAUUGCGAAGGCAGCUUGCUAAACUGUAACUGACGUUCAUGCUCGAAAGUGUGGGUAUCAAACAGGAUUAGAUACCCUGGUAGUCCACACGGUAAACGAUGGAUACUCGCUGUUGGCGAUAUACUGUCAGCGGCCAAGCGAAAGCAUUAAGUAUCCCACCUGGGGAGUACGCCGGCAACGGUGCAACUCAAAUGAAUUGACGGA
This 924-nucleotide ribosomal RNA is filed under the name uncultured Bacteroidota bacterium. Its description in RNAcentral is "bacterial SSU rRNA". It matches the Rfam family "Bacterial small subunit ribosomal RNA", at positions 1 to 917 of the family's 1533-position model. The record is from RNAcentral. Lineage: Bacteria; Pseudomonadati; Bacteroidota.